CGCCGCCCUAGCUCUUUCGAUUUCUCCUCGUUCGAUACUGCUACAUAUCCGAUCCAGUUCGCGUUCUUGCUCCAUACCUUUGGCCAUCGCGAUUUCUUGAAGAAAUUAGGCAUGUUGAUGUUUGAUGUUGCGUACAGUAUUUUGAGAACGGAUCGUAAUCGAAGGCGUCGUAGCAAGAUUGUGCCAUUUCGCCGUAUCUGAUUAACUCGGAGCGGAGGAGAUCGUUCAUUGGAUCCAGUAAUCCAGUCCAAUCGUUGCUGCCGUGGAUUUCUCGCCAGGAAUCAGCGACUUUCGCUUCAGCCUUGGAACUGAAAAUUUGAGGUUGAGUAAUGGAGUUGAGAAGAGGAUUGUUUGGAGUGGUGGAGUUGCUUUGGAAUUGAGAAGAGAAAGUUGGACAGAAGAAUCGCCAUUAUUGAUGAAUAUGAUCACAAGUUUUUUUGUGAUGAAGAUGAAGGAAAUGAUCUGGGGAAGAUGAUGAAUGCAAUCAAGUUUGUUUAUAAUUAAAUAAUAGAUUGAAAUAAUGAGAGUUGAUGGGGGAAUAUAGUGGUUUUUCAAACUAAUGACAAAAAAAAAAUUUGCUAGAUAGGAAAAUUUUUCAAAAAGAGGUGGAAAUGGAAAAUAUUGGCAAAAAUAGGGUUGUAUUUGGGAUGAUAAUCGUGUACCCGUACACUAUUACCUUUAAUCUAGUCAUUACCAAGUAAGCACUA
This is a non-coding RNA of Benincasa hispida (wax gourd), 707 nucleotides long. Lineage: Eukaryota; Viridiplantae; Streptophyta; Magnoliopsida; Cucurbitales; Cucurbitaceae. The record is from RefSeq and is a predicted model, not a curated record.